UAGGGAAUCUUCGGCAAUGGACGAAAGUCUGACCGAGCAACGCCGCGUGAGUGAAGAAGGUUUUCGGAUCGUAAAACUCUGUUGUUAGAGAAGAACAAGGACGUUAGUAACUGAACGUCCCCUGACGGUAUCUAACCAGAAAGCCACGGCUAACUACGUGCCAGCAGCCGCGGUAAUACGUAGGUGGCAAGCGUUGUCCGGAUUUAUUGGGCGUAAAGCGAGCGCAGGCGGUUUCUUAAGUCUGAUGUGAAAGCCCCCGGCUCAACCGGGGAGGGUCAUUGGAAACUGGGAGACUUGAGUGCAGAAGAGGAGAGUGGAAUUCCAUGUGUAGCGGUGAAAUGCGUAGAUAUAUGGAGGAACACCAGUGGCGAAGGCGGCUCUCUGGUCAGUAACUGACGCUGAGGAUCGAAAGCGUGGGGAGCAAACAGG
This 429-nucleotide ribosomal RNA is filed under the name Gemmatimonadota bacterium. Its description in RNAcentral is "Gemmatimonadetes bacterium partial 16S ribosomal RNA". It matches the Rfam family "Bacterial small subunit ribosomal RNA", at positions 355 to 776 of the family's 1533-position model. Lineage: Bacteria; Pseudomonadati; Gemmatimonadota. The record is from RNAcentral.